This 811-nucleotide ribosomal RNA is filed under the name Bacillus subtilis. RNAcentral's name for it is "bacterial SSU rRNA". It matches the Rfam family "Bacterial small subunit ribosomal RNA", at positions 659 to 1469 of the family's 1533-position model. The record is from RNAcentral. Lineage: Bacteria; Bacillati; Bacillota; Bacilli; Caryophanales; Bacillaceae.
GAUAGGAAUUCCACGUGUAGCGGUGAAAUGCGUAGAGAUGUGGAGGAACACCAGUGGCGAAGGCGACUCUCUGGUCUGUAACUGACGCUGAGGAGCGAAAGCGUGGGGAGCGAACAGGAUUAGAUACCCUGGUAGUCCACGCCGUAAACGAUGAGUGCUAAGUGUUAGGGGGUUUCCGCCCCUUAGUGCUGCAGCUAACGCAUUAAGCACUCCGCCUGGGGAGUACGGUCGCAAGACUGAAACUCAAAGGAAUUGACGGGGGCCCGCACAAGCGGUGGAGCAUGUGGUUUAAUUCGAAGCAACGCGAAGAACCUUACCAGGUCUUGACAUCCUCUGACAAUCCUAGAGAUAGGACGUCCCCUUCGGGGGCAGAGUGACAGGUGGUGCAUGGUUGUCGUCAGCUCGUGUCGUGAGAUGUUGGGUUAAGUCCCGCAACGAGCGCAACCCUUGAUCUUAGUUGCCAGCAUUCAGUUGGGCACUCUAAGGUGACUGCCGGUGACAAACCGGAGGAAGGUGGGGAUGACGUCAAAUCAUCAUGCCCCUUAUGACCUGGGCUACACACGUGCUACAAUGGACAGAACAAAGGGCAGCGAAACCGCGAGGUUAAGCCAAUCCCACAAAUCUGUUCUCAGUUCGGAUCGCAGUCUGCAACUCGACUGCGUGAAGCUGGAAUCGCUAGUAAUCGCGGAUUCCAGCAGCCGCGGUAAUACGUUCCCGGGCCUUGUACACACCGCCCGUCACACCACGAGAGUUUGUAACACCCGAAGUCGGUGAGGUAACCUUUUAGGAGCCAGCCGCCGAAGGUGGGACA